This 822-nucleotide ribosomal RNA is filed under the name uncultured cyanobacterium. RNAcentral describes it as "bacterial SSU rRNA". It matches the Rfam family "Bacterial small subunit ribosomal RNA", at positions 625 to 1446 of the family's 1533-position model. The record is from RNAcentral. Lineage: Bacteria; Bacillati; Cyanobacteriota.
GGUGGAAACUACAUGACUAGAGUGCGUUCGGGGCAGAGGGAAUUCCUGGUGUAGCGGUGAAAUGCGUAGAUAUCAGGAAGAACACCGGUGGCGAAGGCGCUCUGCUAGGCCGCAACUGACACUGAGGGACGAAAGCUAGGGGAGCGAAUGGGAUUAGAUACCCCAGUAGUCCUAGCUGUAAACGAUGGAUACUAGGCGUUGUCUGUAUCGACCCGGACAGUGCCGUAGCUAACGCGUUAAGUAUCCCGCCUGGGGAGUACGCACGCAAGUGUGAAACUCAAAGGAAUUGACGGGGGCCCGCACAAGCGGUGGAGUAUGUGGUUUAAUUCGAUGCAACGCGAAGAACCUUACCAAGGCUUGACAUGUCCGGAAUUUCUUGGAAACGAGAAAGUGCCUUCGGGAACCGGAACACAGGUGGUGCAUGGCUGUCGUCAGCUCGUGUCGUGAGAUGUUGGGUUAAGCCCCGCAACGAGCGCAACCCUCGUUUUUAGUUGCCAGCACUUAGGGUGGGCACUCUAGAGAGACUGCCGGUGACAAACCGGAGGAAGGUGGGGAUGACGUCAAGUCAUCAUGCCCCUUACGUCUUGGGCUACACACGUACUACAAUGCUAUGGACAAAGAGCAGCCAGCCAGCGAUGGUGCGCUAAUCUCAUAAACCAUGGCUCAGUUCAGAUCGCAGGCUGCAACUCGCCUGCGUGAAGUAGGAAUCGCUAGUAAUUGCAGGUCAGCAUACUGCAGUGAAUUCGUUCCCGGGCCUUGUACACACCGCCCGUCACACCAUGGAAGUUGGUCAUGCCCGAAGUCGUUAUUCCAACCGAAAGG